UAAUACAUAAGUAACCUGCCCUAGACAGGGGAUAACUAUUGGAAACGAUAGCUAAGACCGCAUAGGUACGGACACUGCAUGGUGACCGUAUUAAAAGUGCCUCAAAGCACUGGUAGAGGAUGGACUUAUGGCGCAUUAGCUGGUUGGCGGGGUAACGGCCCACCAAGGCGACGAUGCGUAGCCGACCUGAGAGGGUGACCGGCCACACUGGGACUGAGACACGGCCCAG
RNAcentral lists this ribosomal RNA (229 nucleotides) under uncultured bacterium. Its description in RNAcentral is "partial 16S ribosomal RNA". It matches the Rfam family "Bacterial small subunit ribosomal RNA", at positions 111 to 334 of the family's 1533-position model. The record is from RNAcentral.